AGAACGAACGCUGGCGGCAUGCCUAAUACAUGCAAGUCGAACGAACACUUCGGUGUUAGUGGCGCACGGGUGCGUAACGCGUGGGAAUCUGCCCUUGGGUUCGGAAUAACAGUUGGAAACGACUGCUAAUACCGGAUGAUGACGAAAGUCCAAAGAUUUAUCGCCCAGGGAUGAGCCCGCGUAGGAUUAGCUAGUUGGUGAGGUAAAGGCUCACCAAGGCGACGAUCCUUAGCUGGUCUGAG
RNAcentral lists this ribosomal RNA (242 nucleotides) under uncultured soil bacterium. RNAcentral's name for it is "partial 16S ribosomal RNA". It matches the Rfam family "Bacterial small subunit ribosomal RNA", at positions 26 to 296 of the family's 1533-position model. The record is from RNAcentral.